UGUGGUAUCUAUACUAUUAAACGAGAAGACCUCAUUUUUGGUGUCGCUUCUCCUCCUUCCACAAUAAAUUGAUCAUUGUGACUGUAUGUCCUGUAGGUACCAUGAAUAGUCGCAUUUGUCAUCCAUUCUUAUGAUUAUUCAGUUUCGGUUAUUUUGGGAGAAAAACGGAAAAAAAGAAGUCCGGAUAUGUGUCCGUCAUCACCCCGGCUUUUAUUCUUAGACAACUUCCUCUUCCGUUUAUAUUUCCAGAAGUUUGGCAAAUUUACAUUACAUACCCUAUAUUAUCAUGUUUUAUUUAAGAUUCAUUGCCUGAAUCGUUAUAUAAGAAUGUUGUCCCAAGUGUAAGCAACGACCCAGGCCGUGUGAAAAUAAACACAAUCAUUUUUGUCAUUCACUUAUCGUCACGUAAAUAACGACACAUGCAUAGCCUAUAUUAUCAUGUUUUAUUUAAGAUUCAUGCAAUCGUUAUAUGUUGUCCCAAGUGUAAGCAACGACCCAGGCUGUGUGAAAAUAAACACAAUUAUUUUUGUCAUUCACUUAUCGUCACGUAAAUAACGACACAGGCAUAGCCUAAAUUAUCAUGUUUUAUUUGUCACGUAAAUAACGACACAGGCAUAGCCUAUAUUAUCAUGUUUUAUUUAAGAUUCAUCCAAGCCAUUUUCACAUUGACUGAAUCGUUAUAUGUUGUCCCAAAUCAGUGGCGUAGCUUGGUCAUUUUUAUGUGUACGCUCGAACCUUGGCGAGGGAUAUGAGGGGUGCCAACCGCUCAAUGUUAAAGCACCUGCUGGUAGUGGGUUCGAAAGGGACGAAGCCAACGAAAGCUAUCGAGAAUGAGAUACCGUAAUGAUUCCUGUCAGUAAAAAAUAAUUGAUAGCAACAUACUUUUGAAUCUAAAUGGUUUAUUUGUUUUAGUUAAAUUUUGUAAUAUGUUAACUUAUUUAUCGUGUUAAACUGGAAGGUAGCCUAAUGGUCAUUGGUUUGAGAGAAAAACGUCCAAACCAAUAUUACUUUUAAAUAAGUUUAAAGGGUGCCGUGAGUGAGCAUACAAUCGACAAAAGCACCUUUUAAUGAACACGAAAAAAUAUAUUUCUAAGAGAUGCAAUAUAAAAAAAAUUUGGAACACCUAGGAAUUCUUCCCACAAAAAGUGAAUCAAUUUAUCAUUCAUUUAAAGGGAUUUAAAAAAAAAGUCUAAAACUUUCUUUUGAUAUUUUUUUCUUGAUCUGGAAUAUUUCAC
Molecule: long non-coding RNA, 1235 nt
Filed under: Mytilus galloprovincialis (Mediterranean mussel)
Lineage: Eukaryota; Metazoa; Mollusca; Bivalvia; Mytilida; Mytilidae
Source: RNAcentral